AUGGCAGUGAGUCACCUUUACCUCCCGGCUCUCACUACCGCUGCCACUGCUGGGGUGUGCUGCCAGGGCCACUUGGCUCCGUCCACACUGCCAGUGAAGUCUUGUGCCCUCUCGAAUGCUCCCACUGCUAUUGUUGCUCUUGGCACUCCUGCUGCUCAUCUGCCCCAAAUCACUCCCUCUGUUGGGCCUUUUUACUUCUGGUUUCUUCCACGAAUGUUUAUUUUUGCUCUCUCUGCUGCUUCUGUGGCUGAAGCUGAGGCUGCCCAGGCCUUUUCAUUGGGCUGCUAUAUGGGUGUUCUUACAGGGGAAGCCCACGCUCGGACCUCUGCUGUGGCACUGCUGGUGCUGCACCUGUGUUGUAUUGAUCCUGUGUUGGGAGCCCACAUCUUGCUAGUAAGCUGGCUCUUUCCAGAAGAUCUUAGCAUUUUCCAGGAGGAAAAGGAUACAGACUGGGAUGGAAUUUUCAUGCCAGCUCCAGUCCAAAUUUCAGUCAUGGUCUUGACAGCUGUGCAGUUCUGGAGCCUACUCGACCUCCACCAGCAGGCCCUGGGUGGUCUUCAAUCCACAGGUAUGUGAGAUUCAGAGUUACGUUCACGGACAUCACCACGAACUCCGGGUGCCUCUGGAGCUGCUGCAGUGGGUCAUUUCUCCACAGCGACCUUGCUUUCCAGGGUGGUGUUCUUUCCACCAGUUCUCCCCUUGUCACAUUUCUGUGAACCACACCCGCCCUGCAUGCCAACCUUCGUCCCUCUCAGAAAAACUCAUGAAAUGCAAUUCUGUGACAAUGACAAUAUGGAGAAGCUUGUAUUUGCCCUAAAUAACAUUUAAAAAGGAACUCAUUGAGUCCACACCGCGGCUCACUAGGCUAAUCCUCCGCCUUGCGGCGCCGGCACACCGGGUUCUAGUCCCAGUCGGGGCUCCGGAUUCUGUCCCGGUUGCCCCUCUUCCAGGCCAGCUCUCUGCUGUGGCCUGGGAGUGCAGUGGAGGAUGGCCCAAGUGCUUGGGCCCUGUACCCGCAAGGGAGACCAGGAGAAGCCCCUGGCUCCUGGCUUCGGAUCAGCACAGUGCGCCGGCCGCAGCGUGCCGGCCAUGGCUGCCAUUGGAGGGUGAACCAACGGCAAAAAGGAAGACCUUUCUCUCUGUCUCUCUCUCUCACUGUCCACUCUGCCUGUCAAAAAAAUAAAAAAAUAAAAAUAAUAAAUAAAAUAUCUCCU
Molecule: long non-coding RNA, 1214 nt
Filed under: Oryctolagus cuniculus (rabbit)
Lineage: Eukaryota; Metazoa; Chordata; Mammalia; Lagomorpha; Leporidae
Description: lncRNA (ENSOCUG00000038912.1)
Source: RNAcentral